This 442-nucleotide RNase P RNA is filed under the name Calditrichia bacterium. Its description in RNAcentral is "RNase P RNA component class A". It matches the Rfam family "Bacterial RNase P class A". From Rfam's summary of the family: Ribonuclease P (RNase P) is a ubiquitous endoribonuclease, found in archaea, bacteria and eukarya as well as chloroplasts and mitochondria. Its best characterised activity is the generation of mature 5'-ends of tRNAs by cleaving the 5'-leader elements of precursor-tRNAs. RNAcentral also lists the same sequence under 1 other name. Lineage: Bacteria; Pseudomonadati; Calditrichota; Calditrichia. The record is from RNAcentral.
AAGGCAAAUCAGGCGGUCGCUGCGGCGCCGGGCAACCGGCGCCGGGGAGGAAAGUCCGAACUCCGCAGAGCAGGAUGCCCGGAGAGAAUCCGGGACUCGCGGCGCGCAAGCGCCGCGGGAUGGAAAGUGUCACAGAAACCAUACCGCCCCGACUUCUGCGAUGUCGGGGUAAGGGUGAAAAGGCGGGGUAAGAGCCCACCGGCCGGUCUCGCAGGCGAGAUUUUUCCUUUCGGAAAAAGUGGCGACACCCGGGCCGGAUAAACCCCAUCCGGAGCAAGGCCAAAUAGGGGAGAAUUUUCCGCGGAAAAACGAGGUUGCUCGCCUCGUUCUUCCCGGCGCGACCGCGCCGGGGAGUGAACUCCCGGGUAGGCCGCGUAGAUAAAUGGCCGCCGCUCCCCGUUCCCGGGGAGAACAGAAUUCGGCUUAUCGACUUGCCUUAAAU